RNAcentral lists this long non-coding RNA (1225 nucleotides) under Sorghum bicolor (sorghum). RNAcentral's name for it is "long non-coding RNA (SBIC_LNC003811)". Lineage: Eukaryota; Viridiplantae; Streptophyta; Magnoliopsida; Poales; Poaceae. The record is from RNAcentral.
GGUGUCCAUUUUGGCAUGUAACCAGUAGUAGCUAACUAGCUAAAACUUAAGGUUUUACGAUGUUUGAGGUUGCUUGGUUCUGGGGACGAUGGUUCUGAGUGCAGCGCAUGCGGCAGGCUGAACCCUGGGUGUUCAGAUGUUGUGAUGCACUUUUGCAAGUUCCUGAACCAAAUACUGUUCAUAUAAACGAAAAGUAUGCCUGCAAUCCUUGCUAUGUUCAAAUUAGAAUUACUGCUUAGUUGUGAGAGAGAGAGAGAGUUGCAAGUAGAUCUUGGUAAGAUCUCGUACAGCACGUGUGCUGCAAGCGGUGUCCAUUUUGGCAUGUAACCAGUAGUAGCUAAAACUUAGGGCCUGUUUGGAACGAAGGAAUAGAAAACAUAGGAAUAGGAAAAAAUGCAGGAAAGGAAAGUAAACAAAGUGGCAAAACAGAGGAAAGAAAAACUGCAGGAAAAAAAUAGAAAGGGGCGUUUGGACAUAGGAAUUUGUAACACAGGAAUUGCAAAGCAUAUGAUUUAACAAAUACACUUAGCACAUAAUGACGAUUUGGAACAUACAAAUUUGUAACACAUGUAUUUGUUUUUAUUCUUACUUUAAAGGGUAGGACCUGCUAUAGUGCUAUCCAUGAGUUAUAUAGCUUGCAGUAGUAUGGCUACAUACGCUAGAGCAAAGCACAUUGAAUGGUGAUACGGCUUGGCUAAUCAUUUGUCCCCUAGCUGUGUUAGCGCCUUAACAGCAGCAUGCUGCCUCGGACUUCCGCGAAGAGCGGAAAACCAGAGCAUGGAGUGGAUUUUUUCAUUCCUGUGAAAACGCGAAGGGACUACAGUAUUCCAUAGGAAAGGGAGGGGUGUUUUCCUGUGUUCCAAACAGCAUGGUUGCUUCCCUUUCCUUUGUUUUUGUUUCCUUUGAAUUUCCUACAAAAAUCCUAUGAUCCAAACAGGCCCUUAAGGUUUUACGAUGUUUGAGGUUGCUUGGUUCUGGGGACGAUGGUUCUGAGUGCAGCGCAUGCGGUAGGCUGAACCCUGGGUGUUCAGAUGUGGUGAUGCACUUUUGGAAGUUCCUGUUUUCAUGGUUAAAAAACUCUGAACACUUGGUUGUUGUGAGUGCGAGGCAAUAAACUUCGGGCUUCCGUCAUGGAUAAAAGAAAAGAAUGACUGCUUAGUUGGAAGCAGAAUAAUCCAGAGUUAGUCAGAGCCAAUUAACCGAUAGUAGUAAAUUUGUUGCGCAC